GGUCAAGCUAAUAAGAGCGCAAGGGGAAUGCCUUGGCAUCAGGAGCCGAAGAAGGACGUGACAAGCUGCGAUAAGCUGCGGUGAGCUGCACAUAAGCUUUGACCCGCAGAUUUCCGAAUGGGGAAACCCGGCAGAGCAAUACUCUGUCAGCCUGCGUUGAAUCAAAUAGGCGUAGGUGGGGAACCGCCUGAACUGAAACAUCUAAGUAGGGCGAGGAAGAGAAAUCAACAGAGAUUCCGCAAGUAGUGGCGAGC
RNAcentral lists this ribosomal RNA (254 nucleotides) under Flavonifractor sp. An306. RNAcentral's name for it is "Bacterial large subunit ribosomal RNA". It matches the Rfam family "Bacterial large subunit ribosomal RNA", at positions 1 to 254 of the family's 2925-position model. Lineage: Bacteria; Bacillati; Bacillota; Clostridia; Eubacteriales; Oscillospiraceae. The record is from Rfam by way of RNAcentral.